GCCAGAUAUGGUGACACAUGCCUAUAGUCCCAGCUACUGGAGAGGCUGAGGCAGGAGGAUGGCUUGAGCCCAGGAGUUCUGGGCUGUGGUGCUGCUGUGUUGUUCGGUGUUCAGCAUUAAGUUCGGCAUCAAUAUGGUGACCUUGGGAGAGCAGGGAGGAGUGAACCGACCUGGGUUGAAAAUGGAGCAGGUGAAAACUCCCGUGCUGAUCAGUAGUGGGUUCCCACUGUGAAUGGCCACUGCAUUCCAGCCUGGGCAACAUAGCAAGACCCUGUCUCU
This 279-nucleotide signal recognition particle RNA is filed under the name Microcebus murinus (gray mouse lemur). RNAcentral describes it as "Metazoan signal recognition particle RNA (ENSMICG00000028035.2)". It matches the Rfam family "Metazoan signal recognition particle RNA". Rfam says of the family: The signal recognition particle (SRP) is a universally conserved ribonucleoprotein. It is involved in the co-translational targeting of proteins to membranes. The record is from RNAcentral. Lineage: Eukaryota; Metazoa; Chordata; Mammalia; Primates; Cheirogaleidae.